GACGAGGUCACACCCGUUCCCAUGCCGAACACGGAAGUUAAGCUCUUCAGCGCCGAUGGUAGUCGGGGGUUUCCCCCUGUGAGAGUAGGACGCCGCCAAGC
This 101-nucleotide ribosomal RNA is filed under the name Bacillus halotolerans. The record is from RNAcentral. Lineage: Bacteria; Bacillati; Bacillota; Bacilli; Caryophanales; Bacillaceae.